Mytilus trossulus (common blue mussel) is the source of this 673-nucleotide long non-coding RNA. RefSeq lists it as uncharacterized. The record is from RefSeq and is a predicted model, not a curated record. The transcript is spliced from 3 exons. NCBI's taxonomy places the organism in Eukaryota, Metazoa, Mollusca, Bivalvia, Mytilida, Mytilidae.
CUGAGCGGUGUUUAGAUGUACCGGGAAAAUCUUAUCUGAUUCAUCGGUUACACUCCCCUGUCACCAGUGAUUCUUUUUUGCUGACAUUCUGAAAAAGUAUUGUGUAGUCCCUGUGACAAGAAAUAUAGAAAAAUAAUGAAAAAUAUAAACAGUUUCAAUAGAAAUGAGCGACAAAACAAGAUAAACAGAAUACAACAAGGCCUAAAUGGUCAAAUAUCUUGGUUUUUAUGAUCUUAGUCAGGUCCUGCAAGUCUUUACUGAAGAGGAAACUUAUUUGUUAAUACUUUUCUACAUAAUGUGCUAAUUGGAUUAAUUAAAUUAACUCAAUUGUGUGUUUUUCUGGAAAAAGAAAUAGAAAAAAUUCUACAAAAUUGCUAUAAACAAAAUGGAGUACUAUCAAAGAUGCACAAGAACACAAUGGUGUAAAAUGUAACAACCUACAUAUUCACUGAUGGAUUAUGGAGAAAUUAAGAAAAAAAAUAGUAUCUUUGUCAUGUUUGUUGUUGAAAUAAACACAUGCGUUAUCCAUUCAUGUACAUAAUAUUAUGUACAUGGCUCUCCAUCAUAUCAAAUAUACAGAGAAGAUGUUUGAAGAACAAGUUGCCAAAAUUUAUUCAACCAAUUGAAGGAAGAUGUCUUGUGGAUGAAAUUAUUUAUGCACUGAACUGUUAUG